RNAcentral lists this long non-coding RNA (199 nucleotides) under Lathyrus oleraceus (garden pea). RNAcentral's name for it is "Pisum sativum (pea) long non-coding RNA (PSAT_LNC032793)". The record is from RNAcentral. Lineage: Eukaryota; Viridiplantae; Streptophyta; Magnoliopsida; Fabales; Fabaceae.
GCUGACUGAGCAUGCCAACGUAUUAAUGAAACGAUGCCAAGAUGAACGCGCCAAGAUCAGCGGCUAUGGUUUUUUCUGAUUUUAUUUGAAUAUUAUUUGCUUUUCCCUCCACUUCCUUUUAAUAUUUCAAUUAUUUUGCUUGUUUUAGAAAAUUCAUAAAAAAUGCAAAAAUAGUCCAAUUUAAUCCCAAUUUUUUUUC